RNAcentral lists this unclassified non-coding RNA (5428 nucleotides) under Pomacea canaliculata. RNAcentral describes it as "uncharacterized LOC112564359, transcript variant X8". Lineage: Eukaryota; Metazoa; Mollusca; Gastropoda; Architaenioglossa; Ampullariidae. The record is from RNAcentral.
UUCUAUUACCGUGCGUCCCCAGCGCUGAGAGACAGACACAGAAACACGGCUGACACAAGACAGUGAUGAACAUGGUGAACGUUUUCAUCAAGAUAUCACUAGAAUGGAUAAAAGAUGCCAGGGAAAAUUGUCCACUACAAUGCUGACAUCUACGACUUUGUGACUUGGUUGUUUACAGGUAUUAACCAGAGGUCAGUUACUAUUAGCAUGCAUUCGUGAUGUACAGAAAAAUAUUGCUGAUUACAAAAAGAAACUACAGCCAAUUUUGCCUUUUGUUUGUCAUAUUCAUGUUUAACACAUACACAUUAAUAAGAAUGGUUAAUUUUAUUUCAGUGACAUGGCUUUUGUAAACAUUUGUUGACCAAUGUAGUCAACAUGGCCAUGCACACUGACAUCACAAAUCUCCAGGAGACACGAGAUUAUAGUCAAGGGAUGGUGCUCUCACAAAGGAUUCUGGUUUCAUCUUACAAACACUUAACAGGGGCUCCUUUGUGCCACACGAUAAAGUCAAUCAUAUACUACAUCAUUCUAGAAGCUCUCUAGCCUAUUAUCGUAGGUACCGCAAGACGUUCUGAAAGUGAAAAUAUGUAAAGAAAGCUCACCAAAACUAUCCAUAUAGACAUUGGUACAAUACGUAGUAGACUAUAUACAUAUAACAGUUUCACAUCAAUAUUUACUUUUUAUCUAUUGUUUGUUUGUGUUUGUGUUUGUUUUUUGUUUUUUUUUUUUGUUUUUGUUUUUGUUUUUUGCAUUUGUUUUUAGUGUGCCGACCUUGCUUUCUGACCCAGAGGCUACUUAAAUAGUCUCGUUAAAUCAGACCUGCUAUAUGGCAAGGAGAAGCAGGUUCAACUACACACAUAGGCUGUUGAGGGAACGUAAUGUAUUUUAUAUUAUUCAGAAAAGAAAAAAAUAACAGAUUUUUAAAUAUAGAUUUUGAUUAAAUAAAGCUUUAGUUACAUUAAUUUUAUUUUUAUAAUUAUUUAAAUUUUGUAAUACAUAUUUCAACUUGGUUGUGACACUGAAGUAUGAGGUGUUUCUAUUUUAGGCCCAGACAUACACAGUGGAGAUACUGCCUGCAGGUGUCAAGGUCACUUAAACUGAGGCGCUGAGAGGUUUAAGUGCACAUGAACUUUUCUUCAUUGUGCUUUACGAAAUUUAUUUCUGUACACUUUGAGUUCGUCAGAUAUUUUUAAAAAAGUUAGAAAUCUGAUUUCAAUGAAUCUUGAUAAAGUCAAGGCAUUGUGGUCUUAAUUUUUCUUUAUGUAAAUUUCCCUGUUGGAGCCCCACAGCCUGGUCACCGUAGAUCGUUAAUAGCUUACGUGGCGCCACAGGAAGCUGACUAGACAGAGACACAGGUGAUUGUGUGCGCGCCUCAAGUGUAACACAUCUACGCUAUGACUGGAGUCUGCAAGGUUUCGUUUUGGAUAAUUGUUGAAGAGAUGAAGAGCAAAAAAUAACGUCUACUCAGCAACUUCAAACCAUGUAUGGCAGCAGAAGUCCUGCGUCUAUUGCUGGCUCCUUCGAAAAAGUUAUUGACGAGGAAAUCCUUGCAAAUAACCGGCCUGAUUCAAGAUCGUCAGGACUAAGCAGUGUUUCUGGACCCGAGGACAGCACCACGUACAAUGUAGUUAGGAGCGAGGACAACUUUCUGUUGACGUCACGACAUAAUCACGUGGUUGUAAAUGAAAACUCUUCCACAGAUAGGAAUAUUCGUGAGUGUGAGCUGCCAUCUCCUCUCAUGUUUACAACACUGCCCCCUCCUGGGGUUCUAGUUUCCAGAAAUCAGCCACCAUUUGUCAUUCCAGAUUCUUCAUUCUUGCGAAAUGCAAAUCCACCAUCAUUUCCCAAUCUCUACAGCUUACCAUCGGCAAGAAGUUUUAAUUUAGGGCAGCAAAUACCUUCAACUGGCCACUACCAAACAGCGAGAUCUGAAGAAAAAAAUCCUUUGUUACCUGAACAUCAGAAUCAAGAAUCAGCACAGUUCAAAAAUGACCAAAAGGCAGCAGCAGGAGAACAGCGCCCUUAUGUCAGUCCACCAAAACAUGGUUUUGGAAAUUCAGAACAAACACCUCCAAUCCAUUUUGGAUUCCCAGUCACUCACCACAGUCUACCAACUCAUCAUGACCCAAGUCCUUUACACAAUGUAUUCUAUGUACCACAGUUUGGCUCCCAGUGGAUUCCGACCUCACAAGCUCAAGGACCAUAUACCUCGUCUUUUCGCUACGAACCUCCGCAGAAUAUACAACACAGCUCUUCUGGGUGUCAACCAUUAUAUCCUCCUUGUGGAAGCCAGCCAUUUGCGUACCCUAUUCACAAUCCACACAUGAUGUGUACCAUUCCUGGUGCAGGCAACCCUCUAAUAAGUGAAGCUGCUUCAAGAGAGGCACAGCAAAAACAUCAAGGUUUUCAGCAAGGGUUGGUGGCUAGUACUGAAUGUUCAUCAGGAAGAGUAGAGGAUACAGAGCCACUGUCAAAAACCAUACAGAUACUAGGCGUUGAAGACUCAAGGACAGCAUCCAAAUGCAAAUACUACUUUGAAAACCCCGAAAAAGGCGGCGGAGAAAUACAGGAGGCCAAGUGGGACAGCAUUGAUCGCAUCUGCUAUAUCACCUUUUCCGACAUGACAGUUGCGAAACGAGCUGCUACGUCUCUUCACAAAAUUAAUGAUCUUCAGCUGGAGACCAGCCUCGUUCCAAGGGGCAUCCCUAUCUCUUCGGGCAUGCGCACUGUUAAGAUCAUCGGAGGAGAUGUCCAAUAUCCAGACACUUACAAACUAUAUUUUGAAAACCCCCAAAAUGGAGGUGGGCCCAUCAGUUCUAUGCGAGCAAUGAAAGAGGCGCGAAUGUUUUUGAUAACAUUUGCAGAUACCGCAGUGGCAGAAAAAGUGUGCAGUCAAAAGCACAUCAUUCAAGGACACUUACUAGCAGCAAAGCCAUUAAGAGGGCAACAACUGAUAGAUGUAAGAUGUGACCCUGAACAUGUCGGAAACUCUUGGACAACAGUGGAAGUGAUUGUUGGACAGAAGCUAAAAAAUGAGAUGUUUUAUCGACGGCACUUUGAAACAUGUACACACUCUGGGCUGGUAGAAGAAAUAAUUUUGAAAAGAAAUGAAGGGAAAAUACUUGUUACAUUCAACAACUUCGAAGCUGCUCAUCAGGUUUCAAGUUGUAGACACACGAUUGAUGGAAAAGAAGUCCAGCUGAGUGUCAUGAAGACAUCGCCAUUUUACUCUGAAAAACUUUUAUUCCGGAAUGUCCCUGAAACUGCAACAAAAGAACUUUUAAUCAAUUACAUGGAAAAUGUUAGUGGCCAGGAUAUUAAAAGCACUAACCACAGUGAUAAACCCGGGGAUCUCCUUGUCAUCUUUCAAGAGAAAAUCGAUUUUCAAAAAAUAAGACAGAAAUGCCAAGCAAAGCUGCUUUGUGGAGACAGGCUGGAGGUUUGUAGGGUUCCUGUGUCUAGCUGUGUUCUCGUGGAGAACCUCAAUCCUAUGACAUCAGAUGAUGAAGUCGCACAUUACUUUGAAUCACAGCAAAGAGGAGGCACAGUACUCAGUGUGCAACGAGAGGAAAAUCACAAUGUAUUGGUCUUCUUUAAAGAUCCUGAAGUCGCUGAACGCGUUGCCAUGAUGAAACACCGACUUGGGGGACGAGAACUCGGGACCAGGCUUUACAUAGAAUGCCUUGGACUUUCCAUCGACAGAGAAGACCCUUCUAGCUUUGUACUUCCAGAGCCACUGGAACUGUCUGUGAACACCAACAUCAAAGUGUCAUUCCUCCGCCAUAGCCCUGAAAUGCUUCAGACUUUCAAUGAAAGUUUGUUGCAGGUUUAUGCGCGUGCGAGAAUUGUGAAAGACUCUCUAAAAGUUGAGUGCACCCUCAAAGAUUCAGUACAUGAUGCUCCUCGCUUAGCAGGCGCCUGGAGAGAUAAAGCAUACAAGCAAUUAGAGAACUGCUUUGAUUCUGUGAGACUUGACCGACAGGAAGUAUUGCCAGAAGUAUGGCCUGAUGUGCUGAAAGCUGUACAAAAGUGUGAAAUCAGCAGUAAAAAUUUGCUCUUAACUCUUGCAGAGGAGCAUGCCUUUGUGAUUUUGGGAAGAAAGAAAUCAGAUGGAGAUACAUUUGCUAAGAUCAAGCGCAUUGUUGAGGACACAGAAAAAGAACUUGCUUUCGAAAAAAGUGAAUUGCAUGAGGUAGUGGAGCUUAAAAGGCAUGAACGUCAUCUUUUGGACAUGUCGAGUUUAUUUGCCAACACAGAAGAAAAGUAUAACAGGCUCAGUGUUAGAGAAGAAAAUGGACAGGUUGUUUUUCGUGGUCAGGUGAAGGACGUGAGGAAUGCGCAGCUAAAGAUGUUACAAAUGUUUCGCUCGGCUCCGUCGAUGACAUUAACGAAUGUAUCCCACGGUAAAAGAAGUCUUCUGGCCAAUGAGAGCGUUCAUAACUUCAUACGCCCAAAACUGGCAUCACUGAGGCUCACUGUCACUUGGGAUUGCCAAAAUGAAGGCCUUGUUACAUUCUUCUGCCUGGAGAAAUCACAUCUCUAUCAAGCUGUUGAGAUCAUUCACUCGUCACUACAAGAAAAAGUCUUGUCUUUAGAUGAAACGUCUUCCUGGGUAACGGCUUCACCGAACUGGAAAAAGUUGAAAGACUAUCUUAUUAAAAGCAACCAGGGCACUUUAAUGAUUGAAACCAAGCCAAAGGGUAUUCUGAUCACUGCUAUCAGUGAGAUUAUGUCCGAAGUUAAAAAUAUUAUUCAGAAUUUCGUUUCAGAAAAUGCAAUCUACUCCACUGUUUUCCGCUUUUCUCCUAGUCGGCAGAAGUUCUUAGCACUCUUUUGGGAGAAACGACUUGAAAGUAUAAAGGAGUCGUUAUCCGACUACAAUGUGGACAUCCGACUAUGCAAUAAAGAAAGAAGUAUACACGUUAAAGGAACAAAACAAGGUGUGGAACUUUCUAGAGAGCAACUGGAAAGCCUAGAGAAGGAGAUUAAGUGUACUGAAGUAGACGUCAAUGUGCACGAAUUCAUCAAGCAGCUAGAGGAUUUGAAUCUGAGGGACCUAGACAGCUUUGCAAAAUCACACCACUGUGUGGUUGCAUUGAGUCUAGAAAAAAAUGGCAUGCAGCGAAACCUCGAACAUUUCCAACAAGUCUUGAGGAACUCUGUAUGUUAUACAAGAGGAAAAGAGGAUCAGUCCCGGAAGAGCUAAAACUCUAUAUCUUUACAGAUAACAAAAUGAAUAGACAAAAUUUUCUGAAAGCACAUGGGAUUUUUUUGGACUACAUUAGAGAGCACAAUGAAGAAAAUCGAGUCUUUUUAGAGCUGGCACCCGAGGUACCAGUCAUACUGGAGACACGACGGGAGGAAGGAUUUUCGAACUUAUUCCUGCAGAAAUUGAACAGGCUUACAUCGGUCUACCACUCCACUCCAU